This is a non-coding RNA of Lonchura striata (white-rumped munia), 2117 nucleotides long. Lineage: Eukaryota; Metazoa; Chordata; Aves; Passeriformes; Estrildidae. The record is from RefSeq and is a predicted model, not a curated record.
UCAAAUAUCUCCUUUUUUUUUUUUACUUUCCAGGACACCUGGAAAGGAUCUGGAGCCCCACACUAAAGGAUACAAAAGUGCUGAUAAUGCUGACUUCGAUGCCUUUUCCAGGCGAGAUAUUUUGGAAUGCAAUCUGUUUAAUUCUCUGGGACCUCUGGGACACAACACCACGGUAGCUGAGCAACUCUUCAUCUGGAAAUCAGCUGAAAUAGACUUUUCCCCCCAACAUUUUGUGUUUCUCUUCUGUGAGAAUCAGUUUGAUCAGGGAAAACAAGAAUUUAAAGGGAUUUUCAGGUUGGUUUGUCAGCAUCAAGUUCCUUCCAGAGCCCAGCAGUGCCUGGAAUCAGUGAUGUGUCCUAGGAAAUCACCUUCUCCAGAAAUAUGGAAUAUCCUGAGUUGGAAGAGAUUCACAAGGAUCAUCCAGGAGUUCAACUCCUGGCACUGCACAGGACAAUUCCAAGAAUCCCCAGAUGAGUUUUUUCGAUUCUUUUCCUUUUUUUUUCUCUUCCCCCUGCCCUGCUGGUAAGGGCAGUGAUGGAGUGACUUCAUCAACCCAACCUCGCUCCAUCCUCAUUCCCAGGAUUGUGCCAGCACUGUCAAGGUCUGGUUCCCCACAGCCACUUCUGCACAUGGAAGUGAUGUUGGAAUCAUGGAAUCUGAGGAUCAUCAAGGUCAGAAAAGACCUGGGGAUGUCCAAGGCCAGAUUGGACAGGACUUGGAGCAGCUUGGGACAGCAGAAGGUGUCCUGCCCAUGGCAGGGGUAGGACGGGAUGAGUUUCGAGUCCCUUCCAACCCAAACCAUUCUGUGAUUCUUCUCCAGCUGGUGAGGAGGACUUGGGGGGCUGUUCCCAAAUUUUAGGAGGAGCUAUCCUUUUAGUCUGAUCCCUGCUGAUCAUGAUCCCAUGGAAAUAAGUUGGCUACAAGCUGGAAUUUUGGCCAGAGGAGGGGAAAAAACUCCCUGGAGAGGUAGGAACAAUGGAAUUUUUGAGUUUUGAGGUGCUGGUCAAGAACAGAGUGAAGGAUGGAAAGCUGAGCUUGCUGUUCCUGGGUAAGUCAGAGAUGUAGGGAAAUGAUUGUGGAGAGGAACCAGAUCAUGGACAACAAAAUCAUGGGAAAUGAUUGUGGAGAGGAACCAGAUCAUGGACAACAAAAUAAUGGGAAAUGAUUAUGGAGAGGAACCAGAUCAUGGACAACAAAAUCAUGGGAAAUGAUUGUGGAGAGGAACCAGAUCAUGGACAACAAAAUCAUGGGAAAUGAUUGUGGAGAGGAACCAGAUCGUGGACAACAAAAUCAUGGGAAAUGACUGUGGAGAGGAACCAGAUCAUGGACACCAAAGCCACAGGUGGGGCAGUAACUCUGCAGGACCUGUGAGAAAGAUAUUUGGGGAUGUGUGAUAAAAAAAUCGGGGAACUCUGGAGAAGGACGGGAUGGAAUUGGAAGUGGGAAGAUGAAUUUCAUGGUGGCCACCGUGUUCUGUGAGCAGCAAGAUCCAGGUCGGAGUGUUGUGGACACUGAGGAUCUUUCUUGGGGUUGUGACCAGAGCCAGGAGCAGAUAAACAGGAACGACACUGACACUUUAUCCCACUUGGCUCAAGUGGAAAUUCAAUCCCAAGUUUUUUGCUUGGGAAGCUCCUGAAGUCCAAGCACCCAAUUAGCAGCAGCUCUGCAGCGGGGGCUGACGAGCUUUCGAUAAAUGAGUGAUCCUUGCAGAGCACCGAGCCAAAGCCACUUCUCUCCCAAGCCAAGGGCUCCAGCAAGGCAGGAAUUCCCAAGUUUUGCAUUAAUUGGAUUUUUAAUGGCUUUCAAAACCAACUGAAAGUGUGAAGUGCCCAAUAAUUACUGCAGGUUAAGGUGACACUUUGAAAAAUGGAUGGGAUGAGAACAUGAAUGAAGCAAACCUUGCUCCAGCCUAAAACAAUGGAUAAUGUGGAUUUGAUAAUCCUCUGGAAUAAAUAAACACCAGGAUCAGGCUCAACAAAUCAUUUUUCAUGCUGGAGAAUUUUGACUACCAAGAAGGAAGUUCGGGAGAAGUGGCUCCAGCUCUUUCUUGGAGGUGCCCAAGGAAUGCCUGGAAGCGGCUCCGGGCUGGUGGCAAGGCUUUCUCAAGGAGCUGUGGU